UUUUUGUAUCAGUUAUCCAAUAUGACUUAUAGAACUUAUCAAGGGAGUGAUGCUCUGUUGUAUGUACCCAUGUUUCUGCUAUUUCCAUUAUUUUUUCCAAGAUUCCAUCUUUUAUUACUUCCAUUAGCCAGUCUUCAAAGGCAGUUCUGCUAGUGAGAAAUUCUUUUUGUUUUUCUCUUUCUGAAGAUGACUUUAUUUUCCCUUUAUUCCCAACGAAUAGUUUUAUUUGUGCUAUUUGGGGUUCGCUCAGCUUCUUGAAGCUGUAAGUUUGUGUCUUUUGCCAAACAUGGAAAAUUGUCAACCAUUAUUUCUUCAGGUGUUCUUUCAGUGUCACUCUUUUCUCCAUUCUAGGCCUCUAAUGAUACAAAUGUUGAGUCAUUUGUUACUGUUCCACAUGGACCUGAGGCAUGGUUCAUUUUUCAGUCUAUUUUCUCUCUUUUGUUCAGAUUUCUGUCCUUUGUCAUCUUCACUCUACUGUUGAGCCCAUCUAAUGAUUAUUUUUCUCCUAUUGUAUUUUUUAGGUCUAUAAUUUCCAUUUGCUUUUUUUUCCUUGUAACUUCUGUUUCUUUGCUGAGAUUUUCUAUUGUUUCGUUUUUGAAACAGUAGAACUUGUAAUUGCUUGUCAAAUCAUUUCUCUGAUGGCAGCAUUAAGAUCCUUGUCAGAUAAUUUCAGCAUCUUACUCAUCCCAGUGUUGGCGUUUUCUUUCCUUCAUGUAACUUUCCUGGUUCUUGGUAUGACAGAUAAUUUUUGGAUUGUGUCUCGGACAUUUUAGUUAUUAUAUCAGGAGACUCUGUACUUUUUAAAAAUUUUAACUUCAGUAGUAACCUGUUAAGGUAUAGCAUGUAGGUACUAGCAUAUAUUUGUGAGCUGUGGUUCCAGUGACCAUUUUUCAGAGGCUUUAUGGUGCUGUUUUGGUUUGUUGCUUUUAUCUCAGUCCACUGGGGCUCGCACUGGUUCCUAGUAGUGCUGCUUGAGGGGCCUUCUCCAGGCUGAGCUGCGCAGAGUGUGUUUGGGUGAGGGAAGAGGACCCCCACUAGAUUUUCGUGGGCUGGAGAGUGCUUCCUGAGCCUUGUGCCUGUUGUGGCAGGCUCCCCCUUGCUGGUGUUCCUGACAGUGCUCCUGACCACAUUGUGUCCCUGGGCUGUGGAACACUUGCAGGAAAGGUGAACACUGCCAGGACCAAUUAUAGCAGAAUUCCUCCUGCCAGUACACAGCAGCACUGUGGCUCUGGACCAGCAAGGAGAGUCUCAAGCAUGGGUUUGUUUCUUUUUGAUUUUAAGAUUUUUCUUCUGCCUUCAGGUUCUGGUAUUAUUGUUCUGUUUUAUUCACCUUUAUGUUUCUUCUAGUUUAGUUUUAGUUUCUUUGUAUUUGAUGUGAUUUUUUUCCUUGCAUUUCUAAUUACUCCUUAGUUGUGUCAUGUCUUCCUUUUUUUCAGUUACCCUCAUUCAGAAAUUUCCCAUUUCUAAUGAUUUGUUAUUUUUUAAAUUCUUUUUAGCUCAGUUUGAAAUUUGUUUACAGUUUUCAUGUUUUAUUUGCAUAUUGUUUCAUGUACUUUGAUUUUCUGUAGGGACACCAUUCUCAUGUAUAUGCAAAUACUUUUUCUC
RNAcentral lists this small RNA (1605 nucleotides) under Pan troglodytes (chimpanzee). Its description in RNAcentral is "sense intronic". The record is from RNAcentral. Lineage: Eukaryota; Metazoa; Chordata; Mammalia; Primates; Hominidae.